UUCCCUGUGGCUCAGUUGGUAGAGCAUGGUGUUUGCAAUGCCAGCAUGGUGUGUGCAACGCCAGGGUUGUGGGUUUGAUUCCCACGGGGGACC
This 93-nucleotide transfer RNA is filed under the name Salmo salar (Atlantic salmon). It matches the Rfam family "tRNA". Rfam says of the family: Transfer RNA (tRNA) molecules are approximately 80 nucleotides in length. Their secondary structure includes four short double-helical elements and three loops (D, anti-codon, and T loops). Further hydrogen bonds mediate the characteristic L-shaped molecular structure. tRNAs have two regions of fundamental functional importance: the anti-codon, which is responsible for specific mRNA codon recognition, and the 3' end, to which the tRNAs corresponding amino acid is attached (by aminoacyl-tRNA synthetases). tRNAs cope with the degeneracy of the genetic code in two manners: having more than one tRNA (with a specific anti-codon) for a particular amino acid; and 'wobble' base-pairing, i.e. permitting non-standard base-pairing at the 3rd anti-codon position. The record is from Rfam by way of RNAcentral. Lineage: Eukaryota; Metazoa; Chordata; Actinopteri; Salmoniformes; Salmonidae. RNAcentral also lists the same sequence under 1 other name.